RNAcentral lists this ribosomal RNA (400 nucleotides) under Polycheles enthrix. Its description in RNAcentral is "partial 12S ribosomal RNA". Lineage: Eukaryota; Metazoa; Arthropoda; Malacostraca; Decapoda; Polychelidae. The record is from RNAcentral.
GGAUUAGAUACCCUAUUAUACUUAUAAAGAAAUUGUGAAUAAAAUACUGGGAGAUUAAUAGUUAUAGUCUUUAAAUUUAAAGAAUUUGGCGGUAUCUUAGUCCUGUUAGAGGAACCUGUCUUAUAAAACGAUAAACCACGAAGAAUCUUACUUAUUUAAUAGUUUAGUUUGUAUACCGUCAUUAAAGAGAACUUCAAAAGGAUAUUAGUUAUUAGAAUUACUUGAGGGUAAAUAUAUUAGAUCAAGGUGCAGUUAAUAAAUAAGGUAAGAUGGGUUACAAUAUAAUUUUAUAUAGAAUGGAUUAGGAGAUGUAAUACUUUUAUGAAGGAGGAUUUAAUUGUAAGUAGAUUUUAAUAAGUUUUAUUGAUAGAGGCUCUAAGUUAUGUACAUAUCGCCCGUC